Molecule: ribosomal RNA, 253 nt
Filed under: uncultured bacterium
Lineage: Bacteria
Description: partial 16S ribosomal RNA
Rfam family: Bacterial small subunit ribosomal RNA
Source: RNAcentral
UACGGAGGGUGCAAGCGUUAUCCGGAUUCACUGGGUUUAAAGGGUGCGUAGGCGGGCAGGUAAGUCAGUGGUGAAAUCCUGGGGCUUAACCCCAGAACUGCCGUUGAUACUAUCUGUCUUGAAUACUGUGGAGGUGAGCGGAAUAUGUCAUGUAGCGGUGAAAUGCUUAGAUAUGACAUAGAACACCAAUUGCGAAGGCAGCUCACUACGCAGUUAUUGACGCUGAGGCACGAAAGCGUGGGGAUCAAACAGG